UUUUUAAUUGCAGCAAAUUUGAAACCCAAAAACUGGCUGGGGCUUAUCAAUCCAUGUAAAAUUGGAACUGCCCAAUAAUACCCCCUACCAGUACCCCAGAUGGUCACCCUUGCAGGCAUCGUAAGAGAUGGUUGCUCUUUAUAUCGGUUUUACCUUUCUUGGUUCCUGGUGAAGCACCAGAAGAAUUGAGCCGUCUUGGCAGACAAGGAGGUUUCCCCUGUGUUCAUCCAGGUCGAUUCCCUAAUGAUUAGCAAUAGGAUCAGACCCUAUUGAAUUUUCUUAUUUUUCUGAAUUCUUAACACUCCAUUUGGUUUUCGGAACGUUAAAAACAAUAUCAGUUUCUCAGAAAUUUUUUUUUGGGUCAUAUUUUCCAGCAGCCGAAAUCCAAAUGGGGUUGAAUCUCUUUAUUAUAUUCUUUAUGGCAUACUACAUGUUUGUUACAAUUACAAGUUCAUAUUUUCAAGAUUUCCCUUUUCAUUCCUGAUUGAAUAAUGCAGAAGAAACACAAAAGUAGGAAAUUUUCCUGUAGAUUUUAGUGCACAACGUUCUUGAAUGCUUCCAUGUAUUAGGAAAUCAUGCUAGAGAUAAAAGGAUACCUAAGUGUUCAUUUAUUAAUUUUGCCCCUGUUUUCGUGCUAAGAAUUAUUUCCAUUAGAAAAGGAAUUGAAUUCUAAGAUUUUUAACACAUAAAAGAUAUAAACCAGCUCCCUCUGUCCACCCCUUAAGGGAUCUUUGAGUUUGUUAGACUUGGUUACACCUUAAUAUGGAUUCUGGUUUAUGGUUAGGCUACAAAUCCAACAGUGAGAAAGGAAUUCUAGUUUUCAAGAAAGAACAAUAAAAGACAGGAAAUCCAAAGGUAGAUUUUUAUUAUGUACAAUCCAUGUUCCUGGAGUGAGUCCAAGUCAAGUCUCAAAUAUCGACCUUCUUGAACUUUUGAAGUUGAAAUUCAUAAACUGGGUGGAAAGUAUCCCAAAGCUUGACUUUAUCUAGAGUAUGCAUCAACUACUCUCUGUGACACUAAAAUAAUUAUCCCUCAUGGUUCUCUCCAUCCCUGAAUUUCUUGCAUUUUCAAUCCUACUCUUGCAUAACUAUUGCACAUCCCACCAAGAGUAGGGGAAUGUGGGAAGAGAGAGGUGGAUGCAGCACAACAUGACUUCCCACUUCAGUUGUUUGGGGGCAAAGAUCACAAGAUCAUCGAAUGGACUUUGACCUUAGUGGGUUCAGACACAAGGAUGGACUAUGCACCCUUUUUACUGCUACAAUGUUGGCAUGGGCCAAAUGCUCAAACCUUUGUAGGUACUGUAACAGCCCCCAACCAACUAUCCUACCCUAACAUACACAACACUAGGUAUUUGACUCAGACCUCUGUUGAAGGAGGUUCACCUUCAUUUGAGAAGCACAUUGGUGUUUGGGUAUCCUUCUUCAGAGGUUUUUGUUGUAUUAACCAGGUCCAGCCAAGUGGAUAACAAAUUUUCUUGCAAUACUUGAUGUCAAUGUUGAGGGAGUUUCCAAUUUUGCCUUCUACACCUUUAAAAGAGCCGUCUAUUGAAGUUGAGUCCUCUAAAGCUAUCUUUAGUAGUGGCAUUAGACGAGCUAGGUAAAAAUCUGGAGAGAAAGCUACCCUCCAUUCCUUUCAAGCAAGGAAAGCAUUAGUGAAAGAGAACCCAUCCAUUUAAAGGAGGCUUUUAGUGAAGCCAAGUCCUCUAAAGCUAUUGUUUGUAGUGGCCUAAGCUUGACUGAGGUAAAAUUCUGAAGAAGAAGCGACCAUCCCUUCCUCUUGAGCAGGAAAAAGCACUCCUGAAAGAGAACCCAAGUUAAGAGCUGCUAUAAACUAAUCUUGAGUUCUCUAUACAAGGUUAUUGUGUCUAACUCAAGGAAUAGAUAUAUGAGUCUAGAAUGGAUUCUAUCUAUUAAAACCCAGCUGUAUUCAAUUUUGAGAUCUUUUACUUGUUUCAAUUGUGGAUUUGAUGCUGUCAUCAACAUACUAUAUAGCAUACCGUGUGUGGUAUAGUUACGUAUCAUAUUUUGGGAUAGUUUUUGCUUAGAGUUUACAAACAGUUGUAAUGUCUUAAAUUCUUAAAUUUAGUUACAAUUCAUUUUGUUUAGAGUUUCUUGAAGAUGUGAACUUAUCUCAAGAUUUUCUUAUUGAUAUAAAAGUUCUCAUAUGAUGAGGAACUGAGUUGGAAUUAAGUUAGAAGUGUAAAGGAAAGAAGGGAAACACUGAUAGAGCAUUGACAACAUGAGCUGCUGAAGUAUGGAAACACGAAUUUAUUUCAUGGCUGAUAUAGAGCAUGAGAAUUAACAUGAGUUUGUUCAUGGCUUGAGUUACAAUGUAGCUAGUAGGAGCCCUGGCUUGAAUUUUGGUACCCAUUAUAAUUUUCCAUAUGAUUUGUUGGAUCUUCUAGUUCUUCAACAUCUAUACUCGGGAAUGAAAAUUGUAUUUCCUGAAAUGAAUUUCCAGAAUGUAACAGAUUGGUAAUUUGAUAUUUCCAAUUCCUGAUAUAAUGUUCAAUUAGGAUUGGUAAUUUGAUAUUUCAGUCAAUUUAGUUCAUCAACAUCAAUUCUCAAUGUAAAGUUCGAUUAGAAUUAGUAAUUUGAUAUUUUUGUCAAUUUAUUCCUAUCCUAGCAUAUGUUUUAUCUUAGAAAUUACUUGAAAAUUAAUGCAAAUUUACAUAAUAGUACUCCUCUGUGUAAUAUUGAGAAAAAUUAGAUUUUGUCAUAAAUAAAGAAAAAAUAACAUGUGUAAUAUUGAGAAAAAUUAGAUUUGUCAUAGAUAAAAAAAGAAUAACAUGUAGUUUGGUAAAUCAACUUAAUGACUUAAUAUGACUUAAUGACUUAAUCCAAGUCAUUAAAUAAAUUAAAUAUGUGUGGUAAAAUAACUUAAUAUCACAACUUAAAGUAAAAAAUAACUGUAAGUAUUAAAUCAAAAUAAUUAACUUAUUCUUAAUCUCAAAUCAUUUUUACCUCAUUUAUUCGUGUUUAAAGAAAAUAUAUUUUACAACUAUGACUUUACAUUCACAAUUCAUCUUUUAUAGGAAAUUUUUUCGUAGUGAUCUUACGCUGCUACAAUCUUUUAAAUGUGAAUGUUUAACAAAUAAAUUUAUUAUUUAAUAUUAGUGAAAAUAUAAAUAUUAGUUAAAAUUAUAAAAAUAUAAAUAUGUCAAUUUGAUUAUUUAGAAUAAAAUUUAAAUUAACUUUACCAAACAACUUUAAUACUUAAAGUAUAUUUUAAGUCAACAACUUAAAAAUAAUUUAAUUUAAAGUCAACUUAAAUCAUUAAGUAAUUAAUAUUAAAUUUAACCAAACAUUACGCAUUUAUCAACUUUUUUUUUUUUUUUUUUCAUUCCCUGAGGAUGAGAAUAAAAAAAGACCACAAGGGUAAGACACCAUUUGAAUUCUGGGAUAUUAUAUACAAAGAUAUCAAGACUAUCAACACCCACAAACCAAACAAACCCAGAGUGGAAUCCUCAUCCUAUCAGAGGUAAACAUAGUUUGAAGGACAAAUUGGGUAUGGAUGUGGGUCCUUGCCAAACGCUUCUACUUUGAAUUGAAUAUUGGAGUUAAUUGAUUUAUUGUUUUACUCUUGACUUCCUUAGCAAAUAGUUAUAUUGAAGAAAAAGAUAGUUUGCUGGUAGUGAACUUUUAUAAAAAUAUUUGGAGGUAAGAAAGAAAAAAAUAUCCUUGCUUUUGAUUGAUUUCUAAUUGCUUUUAGGUUUAUUCUUUUUCCUUUUUUAUGCCAUAUCCAAGUGUUUAUACCUAUUAUUGAGAGGUAGUUGAGCUCCCGUAUCUUGAAAUUUUUAAGUAUGAAGGAUUAGAGAUGUAGACACAUACUCAUACCCAACACACAUCACACACAAAACCCAUGCAAAGUCACAACAUGUGGCAUUAGAAGCUUCUGUCCAGACACAACACCAGCACUAAUCAUCAAUGACCUGGACAGUAAAAGAUCUCUUUCUGUAAUUCGUGUGGGGUUUACAUAAAAAAAUAUCCAUGUUUUGCUGUGUUUGUAAGAGCUAAUGGUUCUAUUACGGUGACUAGACAUUAAUGCUUGUUCUCUCAGUCCUACGAUUGAUUUGGUUCCCCUGUUCCAGAAUUAGGUUUCUUAGACCUCCAUGUAGGGUCUAAGCUGCUUCUAAUCAAGCUAUAGGCUGGUAGUAUUAUAAUGCAUGCAUCGUUUAAUUUCCUUCUUUUGUUUCUUAAUUUGUGCUUCUUUUUUUGUUAGUCAGAAAAUAUCAUUGAAAGUAAUUUUAGUCAGACAUUGCAGCAAUUAAAUUGUGACUAAGCUUGUAAGAUAGGGAUUCCAUUGAUUUUAUAUUUUCCCAAUUAAAGUUGUUGAUGCCUGAUUACUCUCUUAUCAUCCAUGACCUGACUUUGUGCCAACAAGAAGAUACAAAGUUGUCCAAGUUCUCCAAGUUCUCAAUCACAUAUUACAUUUAUGUGGACCUAAACUCAGAAAACUUGUUAAGAGCUGCUCUCUAUGAUUAAAAAAAAAGUGGGGGAAAAUCAUACAAUUUUAUUAAUUAUAACAGUAAUCUGCAGAGGGAAAUCAGAGAGAGAGAAAAGAAAAUAACAGUAAUUUGUAUCGCUGAAGUGAUAUUCCUACCACUUUAGAUAGCUUAAAGGGUUUAUCUGAAACAGGUACGCACUUGACAACCCAGCCGAUUGGCCAAGAUGCAGCAGCAAUUCCAAUGCAUGCACCCCAUUGUCCCCAAUCCAACCUCUCUGUAUCUGCAAAUUUCUUCAAAAAUUCCACCAUAACCACCUGAAGGAUAAUGGUUAUCCCAAUGAUCCCCAGAAAUAGCUUGUUCUUAUGUAACCCCUUAAACACAUUCUUCUUCUCGAGUUUCCUUGCAUUGAAUUCAUUGAAGACUUGGCAAAGUACAAAUGUAUUGAAUAUCAAGGUAUCCUUUACCUUCUCACUUACCCCAAAGAUUGAUUCUCCUUUGAACUGUAGGGUCAAGAGGACAGCUAUCUGAUACAAAGCUUGGGCUAAUAGAUUCCGCCACAUGAUGUUGGAGAUAAGCGGCUCUGUCCGACCCAUGGGUGGUUUCUCCAUCAGCUCCUUGGUGGGUUGCUCUGUGGCAAGGGC
Molecule: long non-coding RNA, 5088 nt
Filed under: Vitis vinifera (wine grape)
Lineage: Eukaryota; Viridiplantae; Streptophyta; Magnoliopsida; Vitales; Vitaceae
Description: long non-coding RNA (VVIN_LNC001359)
Source: RNAcentral